ACUUUUAAUUUAUACAGUAGAGGUUGGUAUUAGACUUCAAGGAUGUGAAAUAAGAUAUAAGCUAAUUAGGAUAGUUAUGCACAUAUAUAACACACUUAUAAUCCACUUCCUGUCUCUUGAGACAAGGGUUCCUCACAGGAAGAGGAACUAUGCUACUGUAGAGUUCUCUGCCGAGCACAACAGAACAGAACAGAACAGAAGAGAAUAGAACAGAACAGAACAGAAGAGAACAGAACAGAACAGAACAGAACAGAACAGAACAGAACAGAACAGAACAGAACAGAACAGAACAGAAGUGUGUCACUGCUAGAGAGGGUUCAGGGAUCACUAAGGAUGUUGGUUACUCAAGUAGAGAGAUAGAAGUGGCUGUCAGGCAGGGGCAUGCAGGGAUACACUCUUCCUCUAGCUCAAUCCAUGGAAGGGCUUGCUCCAUGCUUCCAGCCAAGAAUGUGAGGAGGAACUAGAAGCCACCUCUCCAGGACUGGAGAAGAUAGAGACCCAGAUUCGAGGUGGUUCAGCUGGCCUCCUUGCCUUGGCUCUGGUUUGGUUGGAAGUCAAACCAGUUUCAGGAGCAAUGUGACUACAAACCCUACAAGAGUUGAAAAACUGGAAAUGAUAUUGAUGCAGAAAAAAAUACGGAUCUUCCACAAAAAUGGUUCUUCCUCUGCAACAGUCAUCAGGCUUCUCCUCACUCUUCCUGAGAGAGAGAGAGAGAGAGUGUGUGUGUGUGUGUGUGUGUAUGAAUGUGUCUGAGUAUAAGUGUGUGCAUGUAUGUGUGUGUGUGUGUGUGUGUGUGUGUGUGUGUUCAUAUCUGUAGAUAUGUGCUUCGUGUAGCCUUGGCGGAUAAGUUUCUUUAGUAGUGGGUAGUAGUUAAUGCAGAAACUCAUUACUAUUCAAAGUUCUGAGGAUCAGUGACUGCGUGCUCAGCCAUGGAUUUGAUAUCAUAUCAUUAUCAACCCUGUGCCCUGCAAGACUCAGACAACAUGGUAGAAAAAAAUAAGAUUGUAAGAAUUAGAGUUCUGAGAAGGGGUCUUAUAAAUGCUGUCUCCUGGACAUGACAUAACUCUUGCACAUAUAAACUCAUAGCAGCUAUGGUUACGUGUACAAAGUCAAGCAAGAUCAAGCAAUUCAAAGGUUCCUGCAACGGUAUGGGAGGGGCUACUGGGGCCCCUUUCACAGCUGGGAAGCUAUUAAUAGUUGAUCACUUCGAAAGGAGGGAAAUUCAUGUUUCUUUGUGAGUGUAGCCACUGGUAGCCUCUAUGUGCUCCAGUGGAUGACCCCAUGGCUAUGAACAUAUGGGCAGUGAUAACUGGACUCAGUGAGUUUAAAAAGUAAUAUUAAAAAGGAAAACAUGAUGUUAAGUCAGAGAUGUGAUAGUGGCUUCCUGAAGGGAGCGUGAAGUGGGGGUCUGUAUGGAGGGAUGGAUAUGAUCAAGAUUCAUUAUGUACAUGUAUGAAACUUUCAAGGAAUUUUAAGAAACUAAAAAAAAUUAUAGUAAAGGAAGUAAUUGCCUUGCUUGUUGAUUAUUUCAAAGCCAUUCACUUCUUUCAUUGUUCAGGGAAGGAGACUUUUUAAAAAGGCACUAGGAAAGUUGAAAUGGGUGUAUUUGUAAAAGGUGGGGUUUUAAGGGAUAGUCUAAUCCUCAACUGAUUUGUUCAAAGUAAAAUAUUUUAAUUGUGAAGUCACGUGUGCUUUCUACAAUGUCCUCAAUUGACGGGAAUGCUGAACACAGACCUUAUCAAGAUGAGGUUGGUGGACAGAGAGAAUCUUUUUCCUUGUUCUCAAAUCUGAAGCUCUCUCUGCAGAGAAAAGGUCCUGAUGGCAUUUUAAACGUUUCUCAAAUGUCUCUCCUAAUGGUACAAAAUAACUUCUAAGAUAUGAUAUAGUACUUAUUUAAAUAUGUGAUUUAGUAGUCUUCCUAUGGCUUGAAAGCAUUCUGUAAUUCAAUAAGACACUAUUAAAGUAUAGUAGUCCCCCUUAGAAGGAACAGCGAGUGACACAGUGAAACUAAAAGAAGCUAUGAACCAAAUGGCUUUAACAAAUAUCUAUAGAACAUUUCAUCCUAAAACAAAAGAAUAUACCUUCUUCUCAGCACCUCAUGGUACCUUCUCCAAAACUGACCAUAUAAUUGGUCACAAAAUAGUCCUCAACAGAUACAAGAAGAUUGAAAUAAUCCCCUGCAUCCUAACAUAACCGUGGACUAAGGCUGGUCUUCAAUAACAACAAAAACAACAGAAAGCCCAGAUACACAUGGAAGUUGAACAACAGUCUACUCCAUGAUAACUUGGUCGAGGAAGAAAUAAAAAAGGAAAUAAAAUACUUUUUAGAAUUUAAUGAAAAUGAAGGCAUAAUAUACCCAAACUUGUGGGACACAAUGAAAGCAGUGCUAAGAGGAAAACUCAUGGCUCUGAGAGCCUCCAAAAUGAAACCGGAGAGAGCAUACACUAACAGCUUGACAGCACACCCGAAAGCUCUAGAACAAAAAGAAGCAAAUACACCCAAGAGGAGUAGAAGGCAGGAAAUAAUCAAACUCAGGGCUGAAGUCAACCAAGUAGAAACCAAAAGAACUAUACAAAGAAUCAACAGAACCAGGAGUUGCUUCUUUGAGAAAAUCAACAAGAGAGAUAAACCCUUAGCCAGACUAACAAGAGGGCACAGAGAAUGUGUCCAAAUUAACAAAAGGGAGAAAAGGGAGACAUAACAGAAACUGAGGCAAUUCAAAAUAUUAUCAGAUCCUACUACAAAAGCUUAUACUCAACAAAUCUGGAAAAUCUGGAAGAAAUGGACAAUUUCUUAGACAGAUAUCAGGUACUAAAUUAAAUCAGGAUCAGAUAAACCAUCUAAACAGUCCCAUAACACCUAAAGAAAAGGAAGCAGUCAUUAAAAGUGUCCCAACCAAAAAAAGUCCAGGACCAGAUAGGUUUAGUGCAGAAUUCUAUCAGACCUUCAAAGAAGACCUAAUAAAAAUACUCUUCAAACUAGUCCACAAAAUAGAAACAAAAGAACACUACCCAAUUAGUUCUAUGAAGCCACAAUUACACUUAUACCUAAACCACAAAAAUACCCAACAAAGAAAGAAAACCAGACCAAUUUCCCUUAUGAAUAUUGAUGCAAAUAUACUCAAUAAGAUUCUCACAAACUGAAUCCAAGAACACAUCAAAACAAUCUUCUAUCAUGAUCAAGUAGGCUUCAUCCCAGGAAUGAAGGGUUCAAUAUACAGAAAUUCAUCAACAUAAUCCACUAUAUAAACAAACUCAAAGAAAAACCCACAUGAUCAUCUCAUUAGAUGCUGAGAAAGCAUUUGACAAUAUUCAACACCCCUUCAUGUUAAAAGCCUUAUAAAGAUCAGGAAUUCAAGGCCCAUACCUAAACAUAGUAAAAGCAAUAUACAGCAAACAGUAGCCAACAUCAAACUAAAUGGAGAGAAAUUUGAAACAAUCCCACUAAAAUCAGGAAUUAGAUAAUGGUGCCCACUCUCUCCCUACCUAUUCAAUAUAGUACUUGAAGUCCUAGCCAGAGCAAUUUGACAUGGCUUUGUCUAAUGGAAUGGACUUAACUAAUCAGAAUGGAAUUUUCUCCAAAGGGAACAUGCAUCUGACCAUUUAGUGGACCUUUGAGUUCUCUGCCCUUUAUACAUGAGGGACUUUAUACUCUUUCACCAGCCUGGCCUCCGACCAGUGGGAUACCUUGAGUAGAAGAAAUCAUAGAUUUGUUUUUAGAUUUUCAUAGUUUAAUCCCAUUCUCUUAAAUUGUCCUCUUUAGAAUAUUUCUACCGGCUACAGAGUGAACUAGCAUCUAUUUUCUCAUUAUAUCAAUGAGGCCUGGGGUAUACAUAUCAGUUCAUAGAAGUAUCUGUGUCAAAAACAAAUGAAAAAACCACAUGAAUGUCUUUGAUGAAAAUCAACUCAAUUUCUAGUCUAAUUCUUUUCAUCUGCCUGGGUGAGUGUCUUAGUCAGGGUUUUUAUUCCUGCACACACAUCAUAACCAAGAAGCAAGUUGGGGAGGAAAGGGUUUAUUCAGCUUACACUUUCAGGUUGCUGUUCAUCACCAAAGGAAGUCAGGACUGGAACACAAGCAGCUCAGGAAGCAGGAACUGAUGCAGAAGGGUUUUACUUACUGGCUUGCUUCCCCUGGCUUGCUCAGCUUGCUCUCUUAUUAUAGAACCCAAGACUACCUACCAGCCCAGGACAGCACGACCCACAACACUCACAAUGGGCUGGGUCCUCCCCCCUUGAUCACUAAUUGAGAAAAUGCCUUACAGCUGGGUCUCAUGAAGGCAUUUCCACAACUGAGGCUCCUUUUUCUGUGAUAACGCCAGCUUGUGUCAAGUUGAUACACAAAACUACGUAGUACAGUGAAAUAAUCCACUUUACCUCACUCAUUCCUAGAACAUCUCUGCCAAAAACAGUAAGUUAGUCUUGUUUCUUUCUUCCAGCCCCAGGCUCCCAGAAAUAAGACUCAGAUUUAAAAUGUAUUUACAAAUUCACUGGUCAUAUAGCUACACUCUUCUAUGACUAGAUCCUAACUUAUUAUAACUCAUUUAUUCUAAUAUACAUUCUGCCAUGUGAAUGUUACUUGUGCUCAAUGAUUGUACGUCCAUCUCCUCACAUGUUGAAUCUCCCAUACCUGGCUCCAUCCCAGAAUCCUUUCUGCCUUCCAGAGGUCCCACUUUUUAUUAUACCCUUUCCUAUAGGCCAUAGGUUUUGGUUUAAUUGACAGGUGAUGCAUCCAUAUAAUACACAAGAUAUUCUCUCUAUAAGGGGCAAGGAAAGCUAGACACUUAACUAGCAAACAUUUUAACAGUAAUGAGAACAAAUACUGUCAAAAAGUAAGCAAGUUGGGUACUGAGGUCAACUUUACACAGAUGUAAUGGGAAUUUGGAAGGGGGAAUGAAGUGAGGAACAGAGGAAGCUGAAAUACAAAGGGUAGGAAUCAGGAGUGUGGGUUACCAGUGGGCUCUGGCUCUUUGACCUAGGGAAGGCAGGCUCUUGUCACCUAAAUUAUAUUAGGAAAAGGGGCCCCAUCUUUAGACGUUUUCUGGAGAAGACAGCAAAUUCACUUGACAGCUUUGAGCUUCUAUUAAGUUGGACUUUGUGGUUCUGGUUUUGUUGUUGCUGUUUUUGUUGUUUUGUUUUGCUUUGUUUUUUGUCAGUGCUACAGCUCUUGUAGAAAAUACCUUGUGUUCCUUAUUUGGGCUGAACGAGGACUCCAUAAACCUUGGAAAAUGGGAAGGGGUUUUUCUUAGGGUGAAUUUUUAUUGGCUGAGGUUUAAGGUUCUGGAGAUACCUCAUUUGCAUGGAAAGGUGUUCCAGGAAGUUACAUGACAUUCCCCAGGGAGAGUGUAGGAGUUGGGCUCUUCAGAUAGGGUAGAGAAGAGGAAGCUCUGCUGAGAAAGAGUCCUCCAUUCAGUAUCAAGCUCAGGGAAACUACCCAGACAUGGUAGACUUUGACCUUAAAUAGCAAGGUCUCCCAACAGGAAUUUAAUGAGGUGAGCUAAAUCAUCAUGCUGAGAAUAUAGCUUUGAAUUAUUAGGAACUGUGGUAGUAUUAAGCUGUGUGUAUGUGUAUGCUAAGACUGAGAA
Long non-coding RNA from Rattus norvegicus (Norway rat), 5581 nucleotides. RefSeq lists it as uncharacterized. The record is from RefSeq and is a predicted model, not a curated record. Lineage: Eukaryota; Metazoa; Chordata; Mammalia; Rodentia; Muridae.